UGGGGAAUAUUGCACAAUGGGCGCAAGCCUGAUGCAGCCAUGCCGCGUGUAUGAAGAAGGCCUUCGGGUUGUAAAGUACUUUCAGCGGGGAGGAAGGGAGUAAAGUUAAUACCUUUGCUCAUUGACGUUACCCGCAGAAGAAGCACCGGCUAACUCCGUGCCAGCAGCCGCGGUAAUACGGAGGGUGCGAGCGUUAAUCGGAAUUACUGGGCGUAAAGCGCACGCAGGCGGUUUGUUAAGUCAGAUGUGAAAUCCCCGGGCUCAACCUGGGAACUGCAUCUGAUACCGGCAAGCUUGAGUCUCGUAGAGGGGGGUAGAAUUCCAGGUGUAGCGGUGAAAUGCGUAGAGAUCUGGAGGAAUACCGGUGGCGAAGGCGGCCCCCUGGACGAAGACUGACGCUCAGGUGCGAAAGCGUGGGGAGCAAACA
RNAcentral lists this ribosomal RNA (427 nucleotides) under uncultured bacterium. RNAcentral's name for it is "partial 16S ribosomal RNA". It matches the Rfam family "Bacterial small subunit ribosomal RNA", at positions 355 to 774 of the family's 1533-position model. The record is from RNAcentral.